This is a small nuclear RNA of Phyllostomus hastatus (greater spear-nosed bat), 106 nucleotides long. Lineage: Eukaryota; Metazoa; Chordata; Mammalia; Chiroptera; Phyllostomidae. The record is from RefSeq and is a predicted model, not a curated record.
GUGCUUACUUAUGCAGCAUAUACACUAAAAUUGGAAUGAUGCAGAAAAGAUUAGCAUGGCCACAUGCAAGGGUGACGUGUAAAUUCAUGAAGCAUUCCAUAUUUUU